This 403-nucleotide long non-coding RNA is filed under the name Mytilus galloprovincialis (Mediterranean mussel). Lineage: Eukaryota; Metazoa; Mollusca; Bivalvia; Mytilida; Mytilidae. The record is from RNAcentral.
GGAUCUUAUAAUGUAUGAUGUCGUUGUCAUCUGUGUCUGCGUCGUCGUCUGUGUGUAUUGUGAUUUUGGGAUGAUGGUCACAACCGUUCAGGACUAAGGGGCCACAAAGGGGGCUAAAAACAAACAUUUUUCUAGUUUCAGGAUAAUAACUAUUGUAUUAGUAUUUAUAUUGCUCUGAAAUUGCACCACAAUGUUUAAUACCACAAGUAGAAGGUUGGGAUUCAUUAAGGGGUUAUGGGGAUAACAGAUUCGAAAUUAAGGGCAAAAAAGGAGCCAAAAACUAGCCUUUUUCUAGUUUCCAGACAAUAACGUGGGUGUUAGUGUAUGGAUCUCUCUGACAUUGUACCAUAUAACAUAGGGAAGGCUGGGAUUGAUUAUGGGGUUAAUUACCCAAAACAUGGAG